Non-coding RNA from Danio rerio (zebrafish), 709 nucleotides. The record is from RefSeq and is a predicted model, not a curated record. Lineage: Eukaryota; Metazoa; Chordata; Actinopteri; Cypriniformes; Danionidae.
GUGCUGGAGAAAGUCACUCCAGAACUAAAAUGGGUUUCUUCACCUUCCAGUAGCUUCCUAUGAGGACAUCAAUAAAGACUGGUUUCUGCCACCAAGUGAACAUGACCUUGCAUAAACCUCUCUUGCAAAAUCCUCUUUAUGAAGAGACCGUUCUUAGUGGCAUUAACCUCGGCCACCUCUCUGCGAUUAGUUCAGCACCAUGGACAGAACUCCCGGCUUGUUGACAGGGCAGUUCAAGCAGACUCAUCCACGACCUGUGCUGUAAUUCAUGCUUAAGUAUUUUUAACAUCUUUACAGUUCUGCUAUAAUUAUCAGACUUACAUUUUUCAUGAGCUACAAUAGCAUGAUUACAUUAAAUAUUUAGAUAUUUUAGCUCAUCUCUGUCACAUGACUAGAUCAUUUGAAUCAACUAAUAAAGUAAGAAAAGGUUAUUAAUUAUUAUCUUUAAUUAGUUAUGAUUAUAAUUAUACAGUCACAGCAUCUAAAGCAUGCUCUUUCCCUAAUGCAUUUAUAUAAAUUAACAUAAAAUCUUAACAUUGUGUUAAAACCAAUGUAAAACAAUUAAAUGAUUAAUAGACAUGUUUUGUAUUUGUAUUUUGCUAAUAAUAAUGAUGAUGGUUAUUAUUACUGAAUUAAAUGUUCUCUUUUUAUUAAUCAAUGGUUAAAAAGAAAAGUGAAAUAAAAAGUAACAUCUGUAUUAUUAAAAAUA